UCUCUUUUGCUGGUGAGUUACAUCUUUUCAAAAAUUAUAGAAGUAGCAGAAAUUGUAUAUAAAGUUUGUCCCUAUUUGUUAAUUGUGAAUAUGUGUUAAUUACCUAAGAUUAAAACUAUAGAUGAGUCUAAACUAAGUUUUCUGUUUGCAGAUUCAUGUUCUAAGGGUAUAAUUCGGUAUUUUGUUUACUGUUGUAACUAGAGUAGAUAUGAGUGAGGACUACCCUAAAAUUACAAAGAAUGAGAGAAUGGACUUUGGAAUUAACUAAACUUUAUGCCAUCUCUUUACUGUGAAGACUCCUUUAACGGUUUUUGGUUUUGUUUUUCAAUUACCUCUACGGAACUUUUUUCUUUGAAACCACUUUAAUGGAAAGUUGGCCAGCAGAGGGAGUAUAGAUUAGUAAUCCUGAGUGUUUAGCUAAGAUGUUCCCUACUGAUGCAGACUCAUUCCCAGAGCAAACCAAAAACAAAAGGUGAAGCUUCUGGGUUCCAAAUGCUAAGAACACUAAACACUAUGAUAUGAAAUGCAAAACCCUAACACCCAAGAAGAUAGCGUAUUAGGUAAUUUUUUCACAACUUCCAAAAUAUGGAAUGAGCAAAUCCUAAUGCUGGCUCUGCUGCGAAUGAAACAUGAUGUGAUAUUGGGUAAAUUAUUGAUCUUGCCAGUUUCCUCAUCUGCAAAUUACAGGAUUAGGCUAAGUCAGUUUUUCCCAACUUUUUUACUAUGAGUUACCUCAAACUCUUAUAAUCUUCCCCCUACCCCAGCCCUAUGUUUCAGAAGCUUCUGUUUAUUUUUAAAACUCAUUGAUUAAAUAAUAAUUAAUGCAUUAUUCAUGUUUUAAUAUUGUAAAGGCCCAUUGGAACUUCUGAAGAGUGGCCCCACUGAACUGAAGUAAUUUCAGAUAAUUGUAAAGGAACUCAAAACUUUUAUAUGAGUAAAGUGGAAUUUCUAUUAGGAGCAUUGAAAUUUGAAAAUAGAUCAUCAACUUCUAUUGCUAGAUUUAUAGAUUCUGGGAGUCUGAGGUCCCUGAAUUAGAAGCCACUCAUCUCAAAGACCUCUUCCAAUUAUGAAAUACUUAGACAUCUACUUUUUGAUAGGGGAAGCCUGUAUAUGCUCACGUGAUGAAUUUAUUUUAAUACUAAAUAAAAUUACAUGGUCCAAAAGUGCUUUCUGUUUGUUAAAUUUGGUAACAUAUACAUCAUACAUUGACAGAAUAUUUCCAGUAAUUUGUUUUCUGAUUGAGAACAGUAUAAAUUCAAUAAAUGUCAGUUGUUUAAAUUCCAAAUUAGACCAAGGGAAUAUUUUAGAGUUUUG
This 1314-nucleotide long non-coding RNA is filed under the name Equus asinus (donkey). RNAcentral describes it as "lncRNA (ENSEASG00005030384.1)". The record is from RNAcentral. Lineage: Eukaryota; Metazoa; Chordata; Mammalia; Perissodactyla; Equidae.